CAGACGAUUUCCCUGAAAUCUUGUUGCUUCGCACUUUUCACAUCCAUGUCUAAUGAGAGUAAAGUUCAUGCUAAAAUACAAGCUUCUAGCCAGACUAUUCGGUCCUGGGAGAUAGAGGAAAUGCUGGGGACCAAUGAACCAGUAACGACCAAGGUUCUGGCCAUUGACAAACACCACUCCUUUACCCCAGUUCUGUGGAUACACAUAUAUCAACACAGGCUCUUCAUUCCAAAGAAAUUCCAAAUGCAAGCAACUAAUAUGUCUUGGAAUCCCAGCUCUUUUGGAACAGAAAUCAAAAAUUGUUUCAUUCUGGCUUGAAUUGUUCAUUGAACAAAGGAAGCUUGAUGAAGGUGUCUUUUGGAGGACCGUCCAAAACGAGCCUGGCCUGGAAAAAUCCUGGGACUGGCACUGACUUGAAGUCGGUUUUCC
Long non-coding RNA from Xiphophorus maculatus (southern platyfish), 429 nucleotides. RefSeq lists it as uncharacterized. NCBI's taxonomy places the organism in Eukaryota, Metazoa, Chordata, Actinopteri, Cyprinodontiformes, Poeciliidae. The record is from RefSeq and is a predicted model, not a curated record. The transcript has 3 exons.